This 497-nucleotide ribosomal RNA is filed under the name uncultured bacterium. RNAcentral describes it as "partial 16S ribosomal RNA". It matches the Rfam family "Bacterial small subunit ribosomal RNA", at positions 28 to 507 of the family's 1533-position model. The record is from RNAcentral.
GAUGAACGCUGGCGGCGUGCCUAAUACAUGCAAGUCGAGCGAACGGACGAGAAGCUUGCUUCUCUGAUGUUAGCGGCGGACGGGUGAGUAACACGUGGAUAACCUACCUAUAAGACUGGGAUAACUUCGGGAAACCGGAGCUAAUACCGGAUAAUAUUUUGAACCGCAUGGUUCAAAAGUGAAAGACGGUCUUGCUGUCACUUAUAGAUGGAUCCGCGCUGCAUUAGCUAGUUGGUAAGGUAACGGCUUACCAAGGCAACGAUGCAUAGCCGACCUGAGAGGGUGAUCGGCCACACUGGAACUUAGCCACGGUCCAGACUCCUACGGGAGGCAGCAGUAGGGAAUAUUCCGCAAUGGGCGAAAGCCUGACGGAGCAACGCCGCGUGAGUGAUGAAGGUCUUCGGAUCGUAAAACUCUGUUAUUAGGGAAGAACAUAUGUGUAAGUAACUGUGCACAUCUUGACGGUACCUAAUCAGAAAGCCACGGCUAACUACGUG